GAUGAACGCUGGCGGCGUGCCUAAUACAUGCAAGUCGAGCGAACAGACGAGGAGCUUGCUCCUCUGACGUUAGCGGCGGACGGGUGAGUAACACGUGGAUAACCUACCUAUAAGACUGGGAUAACUUCGGGAAACCGGAGCUAAUACCGGAUAAUAUAUUGAACCGCAUGGUUCAAUAGUGAAAGACGGUUUUGCUGUCACUUAUAGAUGGAUCCGCGCCGCAUUAGCUAGUUGGUAAGGUAACGGCUUACCAAGGCAACGAUGCGUAGCCGACCUGAGAGGGUGAUCGGCCACACUGGAACUGAGACACGGUCCAGACUCCUACGGGAGGCAGAAGUAGGGAAUCUUCCGAAAUGGGCGAAAGCCUGACGGAGCAACGCCGCGUGAGUGAUGAAGGUCUUCGGAUGGUAAAACGCUGUUAUUAGGGAAGAACAAAUGUGUAAGUAACUAUGCACGUCUUGACGGUACCUAAUCAGAAAGCCCCGGCUAACUACGU
This 496-nucleotide ribosomal RNA is filed under the name uncultured bacterium. RNAcentral's name for it is "partial 16S ribosomal RNA". It matches the Rfam family "Bacterial small subunit ribosomal RNA", at positions 28 to 506 of the family's 1533-position model. The record is from RNAcentral.